UCUUGGUUCAGGAUUAACGCUGGCGGCGUGCCUAACACAUGCAAGUCGAACGAAAUAUCUUCGGAUAUUAGUGGCGAACGGGUGAGUAAUGUACAGGUAAUGUACCUUCGUACUGCGAAUAACAAGCUGAAAAGUUUGCUAAUACGGAAUAGUUUCCUUCGAGGGCAUCCUUAAAGGAAUAAAGAUUUAUCGUGCGGAGAUCAGCCUGUAUCCUAUUAGUUAGUUGGUGGGGUAAUGGCCUACCAAGACGACGAUGGGUAACUGGUCUGAGAGGAUGAGCAGUCACAUUGGAACUGAGAAACGGUCCAAACUCCUACGGGAGGCAGCAGUGAGGAAUUUUGCGCAAUGGGGGAAACCCUGACGCAAGCAACGCCGCGUGAGUGAAGACGGCCUUCGGGUUGUAAAGCUCUGUCGUGUGUGACGAGUAGGGACGGUAACACACAAGGAAGCCUCGGCUAACUACGUGCCAGCAGCAGC
RNAcentral lists this ribosomal RNA (477 nucleotides) under uncultured bacterium. Its description in RNAcentral is "bacterial SSU rRNA". It matches the Rfam family "Bacterial small subunit ribosomal RNA", at positions 17 to 518 of the family's 1533-position model. The record is from RNAcentral.